Molecule: ribosomal RNA, 982 nt
Filed under: human gut metagenome
Description: bacterial LSU rRNA
Rfam family: Bacterial large subunit ribosomal RNA
Source: RNAcentral
ACGGUCCUAAGGUAGCGAAAUUCCUUGUCAGGUAAGUUCUGACCCGCACGAAAGGCGUAACGAUUUGGGCGCUGUCUCAGCUGUAGACUCGGUGAAGUCUUAGUACCUGUGAAGAUGCAGGUUACCCGCGACUAGACGGAAAGACCCCAUGGAGCUUCACUGCAGGUUGAUAUUGGGAUUUGAUGCAGCAUGUACAGGAUAGGUAGGAGGCAAAGAGAUGGAUACGCCAGUAUUCAAGGAGCCGCUGUUGGGAUACUACCCCUGUUGUAUUGGAUUUCUAACCGGACGACGUAGAGCCGUUGACGGGACAGUGUCAGUCGGGCAGUUUGACUGGGGCGGUCGCCUCCCAAAGAGUAACGGAGGCGCCCAAAGAUACCCUCAGCUUGGAUGGAAACCAAGCGCAGAGUGCAAAGGCAAAAGGGUGUUUGACUGCGAGACCCACAAGUCGAGCAGGGACGAAAGUCGGGCUUAGUGAUCCGGCGGUGCUGAAUGGAAAGGCCGUCGCUCAACGGAUAAAAGCUACCCUGGGGAUAACAGGCUGAUCUCCCCCAAGAGUCCACAUCGACGGGGAGGUUUGGCACCUCGAUGUCGGCUCAUCGCAUCCUGGGGCUGUAUUCGGUCCCAAGGGUUUGGCUGUUCGCCAAUUAAAGCGGUACGCGAGCUGGGUUCAGAACGUCGUGAGACAGUUCGGUCCCUAUCUGUCGUGGGCGUAGGAUAUUUGCAAGGAGCUGUCCCUAGUACGAGAGGACCGGGAUGGACGCACCUCUGGUGCACCAGUUGUCACGCCAGUGGCACAGCUGGGCAGCUAUGUGCGGAACGGAUAAACGCUGAAGGCAUCUAAGCGUGAAGCCGCCCUUAAGAUAAGAUAUCCCUUCUGUUUACAGAGUAAGACCCCUUGAAGACUACAAGGUUGAUAGGCUCAAAGUGUAAGCACGGUGACGUGUUUAGCUAGCGAGUACUAAUCGGUCGAGGGCUUAACCUU